This 138-nucleotide small nucleolar RNA is filed under the name Solanum tuberosum (potato). RNAcentral describes it as "Small nucleolar RNA snoR136". It matches the Rfam family "Small nucleolar RNA snoR136". Lineage: Eukaryota; Viridiplantae; Streptophyta; Magnoliopsida; Solanales; Solanaceae. The record is from Rfam by way of RNAcentral.
AUGCUUUUGCUAAUUAUAUUUUGUGGAUUUCACUUUUUGUAGUGUGAUACUUUAGCAAGUGAAGCUAUAAUAAUGUUCCCCUCGCUAUCCUUUGCAUCUAAUUUUUGUGGUGUAUUUGGUCGUUGGGGUACUACAUAA